This 91-nucleotide transfer RNA is filed under the name Prevotella sp. RNAcentral describes it as "tRNA-Ser". It matches the Rfam family "tRNA". From Rfam's summary of the family: Transfer RNA (tRNA) molecules are approximately 80 nucleotides in length. Their secondary structure includes four short double-helical elements and three loops (D, anti-codon, and T loops). Further hydrogen bonds mediate the characteristic L-shaped molecular structure. tRNAs have two regions of fundamental functional importance: the anti-codon, which is responsible for specific mRNA codon recognition, and the 3' end, to which the tRNAs corresponding amino acid is attached (by aminoacyl-tRNA synthetases). tRNAs cope with the degeneracy of the genetic code in two manners: having more than one tRNA (with a specific anti-codon) for a particular amino acid; and 'wobble' base-pairing, i.e. permitting non-standard base-pairing at the 3rd anti-codon position. RNAcentral also lists the same sequence under 1 other name. Lineage: Bacteria; Pseudomonadati; Bacteroidota; Bacteroidia; Bacteroidales; Prevotellaceae. The record is from RNAcentral.
GGAGAGAUGCCAGAGUGACCGAUUGGGCCGGACUCGAAAUCCGGUGAACGGCUCGUCCGUUCCGGGGGUUUGAAUCCCUCUCUCUCCGCCA